AACUAUCCCUACCAAAGAAUAAGCCAUAACCAUUCAAGCAGCCAGCGAGAUCCUAUUAAGAAGAUUCCUUGAAAACUGUCAUGAAGCUGCCCAUUCAUUACAAGUAGUAAAUGAUUAUAGAGAAAACAUCAAGAAUAGAAUUUUUUUUAUUAUUUAAUUUGUACUUUACAAUUUGUCCAGUUAGACAUUUGGUAAAUUUUUCUAAUUGAAGAAUAGAAUUGAUUUCUCAAUGAAGGAUAGAAUUGACCGGAUCUGCGAAAAAAAGCUUACGCCACAAUCGCCAAAAGAUAGUCACGUGAGUACUUGGACGUCAGAAAUCGAUACUGACUUUGCAUAGGUUGCCAGCUAACAAAUAUAUCACAAUAAACAAAACAAAUUGCACCAUUGUGAAAACGAUUAUACAAUUGAACUUAAAUGGAUACUACAGACUCUACGACAAACUCCAAAUAAUCCCAAAACUACACAACCCAGAUUUAUUAUGCCUGCAAGAAACAAACUUCAAGAAUAACCAUCAUUCUACAUUAGAACACUAUAACACCGUAAGGAAUAGAGAAAACGGAAAAUGCAAUAAAUGCAAACGACAAUAUUACAACAAGUACUGUUCCAUCGAAAUUCCACUAUCUACGAAUCUAGAAACGAAAUUACAAAUUUAACUUCAAUCACUAGAAAAUUUAAGACACUACAAAGAAACAAUUCUUAAGAAACAUUUCUUUUAAUAAUAAAAUUUCUCUCGUAACACUACAAUGUAAAGGACGUAAUACAUGGUCAGAUACGAACAGAUUAGAUAACUCAAAGAAAACAGAUGAAAAUUAAAGAAAAGGUCAUUAAAAAAGUGAAAAAAGGAGAAGGAAGAUCCUAUUAUAGAGCAGAGCAUAAUAAAAAAUAAAGGAAACUAGGGACUAAGGGAUAGGGUGGAGGACUGACAGUAGAAGGGCAAAAACAUCAGAAGAGAUGGAGGAAAUGAGGAAAUUAGGAAGUUUUUAGAGAAGGGAGAACCUUGUGCUAAACAUGGAAAAGUCCAAAAUAAUGGUUUUCAGAAACGCGAGAGGAAAGUGAAAAAUAGAAAAAUAAUUUUUGGAAGGGAGAAAAGUGGUCAGUAAAAGAAUUUAAAUGUCUAAAAUACAGUCUGAAACAAAAUCCACUAAUUUGACUCGUUAAUCAAAAGUAUUAUGCUGUAUAGAGCAAAGAAAUGGGGCUGGAAAGUACAAAACAGGCUGGGCAUGAUAAGGUAAGUAUUUAAGGUAAAUAUUUAAAAGGAAUAUUAAGAUUUAACUGAAACAUCUCGAGAUAUGUUGUAAAGGGUGAAAAUACAGAAACAAAAUUAUAGUAAAAGCAGGCAAAAAAUCAACAGCACUUGAAGAAAAAAUAAGGUGAGAGUCAGAUGAUGAAAUAUUAAAGGAAUGUUUAUAAGAAAUAAAAAGAGAGAAGAUAGUACGAUAACAAAGUAGCAGAAAAAAGGAGGGAAUUUUGCUUUAAAAAUGGUCUAUUAAUAAGAGCAGUAAAAAGAAGAGAUACUAGAAAGAGUGUUAUGAGCGAAGUAGUGACGAAGGAAAUUGAAAUACAAAGGCAAUAGCUGUACAACAAGAAACAACAAUUAAGAUACAAUACAGAAUACAGAGAAACUGAACAAGACGAAUGGCAAAAUAAUUAAC
RNAcentral lists this unclassified non-coding RNA (1652 nucleotides) under Bombus terrestris (buff-tailed bumblebee). RNAcentral's name for it is "misc RNA ENSBTSG00005036707.1". Lineage: Eukaryota; Metazoa; Arthropoda; Insecta; Hymenoptera; Apidae. The record is from RNAcentral.